CUUUUAUUUUUUAUUUUUUCAUAUCCCAGUGGAGAAAUCCAUUACAUACUGGGGAUAUACUGGUAUGUUACUUGAAAGCUGUAUUCCACAUUACUGCAUUUUGGUUAAUAUGGACAUACCGGUUUGAUCUGCUUUCUCUUUCCCAGGUGGUAUAGGCACCCAAUCUAUUAUUAGCCUAAAUUUUCAUCCAGCACCAGCAUCACCUUUAAGUACAGUAUGUGUAAUGUAAUGCCAGUAUUGAUGUAAACAAACACUGUCAUGGAAUGCAGGUUAUCUCAGUACACAUUUUAUUUUUAAUGAAGUUGUCUUUUUUAGCUUUAAUACACCUUUUAUGACAUGAAAACUGUCAAAAAUAGAUGAAACAAUGCUAUUUUCAGUAUGAAGCAUAACUUUAAAAAAAAAUUGCUGCGUGCUUAAUGCAAUUAUUUCUUUAUAUGUAUUUUAUAUAAUCACUGACACGUAUGUAUCUUAUGAUAUAUUGAAAUAUGGAUUGAAAGUCAGAGUGAAGUUGUCAGAAUGGUUCUUAAAGUUGAUGACUGGAAAAAUCUCAGUAAAUUUUGCAUGUUCCGUCAAAUUGAGGUUACUCCCCUUUUCAUGUAAUUUCUCGGGAAAUAUGACAAACACUAAAUUCAGAUUGUCUUUAUUUUGUUACAUUCAUGUAUCAGUAUUAAAAGAAACCACGACUUAUAUUAUUCGAACAGAAUUGGAAUCGGUAUAGGAUACAAGGAAGUAAAUACAGUUCUGUGCGCCACCUGGUUUUUACAUCCAACGUAAAGCCAAGAAGUAAAUAUAAUUUUUUUUUAUGAAUAUGUAUGAUAUUUAAAGAAAUGACUUUGGUGGAAGAAAGAUACGUAUUUAUGCAACACUAUGUAUGCAUUUAAAUAAUUUUAUUGAAUCAGCAAUAAUUUUCUUAACUUAUCUGUUGUAGAGGUGAACGUCCCAAUUUUUGACACAAAAAUUAGGUUCAAGCCAGACGGUAGUUGUGAAGAACCAAAAUUUAAAGUAAAAAAAGCUGCGGCACCAUAUGGUUUUUUGGUACUGAAAAACACCCAAAG
This 1055-nucleotide long non-coding RNA is filed under the name Mytilus galloprovincialis (Mediterranean mussel). The record is from RNAcentral. Lineage: Eukaryota; Metazoa; Mollusca; Bivalvia; Mytilida; Mytilidae.